AGCGAACGCUGGCGGCAGGCUUAACACAUGCAAGUCGAGCGGGCAUAGCAAUAUGUCAGCGGCAGACGGGUGAGUAACGCGUGGGAACGUACCUUUUGGUUCGGAACAACACAGGGAAACUUGUGCUAAUACCGGAUAAGCCCUUACGGGGAAAGAUUUAUCGCCGAAAGAUCGGCCCGCGUCUGAUUAGCUAGUUGGUGCGGUAAUGGCUCACCAAGGCGACGAUCAGUAGAUGGUCUGAGAGGAUGAUCAGCCACAUUGGGACUGAGACACGGCCCAAACUCCUACGGGAGGCAGCAGUGGGGAAUAUUGGACAAUGGGCGCAAGCAUGAUCCAGCCAUGCCGCGUGAGUGAUGAAGGCCCUAGGGUUGUAAAGCUCUUUUGUGCGGGAAGAUAAUGACGGUACCGCAAGAAUAAGCCCCGGCUAACUUCGUG
Molecule: ribosomal RNA, 435 nt
Filed under: uncultured bacterium
Lineage: Bacteria
Description: partial 16S ribosomal RNA
Rfam family: Bacterial small subunit ribosomal RNA
Source: RNAcentral